GAUGAAGAACGCAGCGAAAUGCGAUACGUAAUGUGAAUUGCAGAAUUCAGUGAAUCAUCGAGUCUUUGAACGCACAUUGCGCCCCCUGGUAUUCCGGGGGGCAUGCCUGUCCGAGCGUCAUUGCUGCCCUCAAGCCCGGCUUGUGUGUUGGGCCUCGUCCCCCCUCCGGGGGACGGGCCCGAAAGGCAGCGGCGGCACCGUGUCCGGUCCUCGAGCGUAUGGGGCUUUGUCACCCGCUCUGUAGGCCCGGCCGGCGCCUUAGCCGACGACACAAUCUUUUUUUUCAGGUUGACCUCGGAUCAGGUAGGGAUACCCGCUGAACUUACGCAUAUCAAUAAGCGGAGGA
RNAcentral lists this unclassified non-coding RNA (346 nucleotides) under soil metagenome. RNAcentral's name for it is "partial contains 5.8S ribosomal RNA, internal transcribed spacer 2, and large subunit ribosomal RNA". The stretch from base 1 to 120 matches the Rfam family "5.8S ribosomal RNA", at positions 35 to 154 of the family's 154-position model. The record is from RNAcentral.